CCUACGGGUGGCAGCAGUGAGGAAUAUUGGUCAAUGGGCGGAAGCCUGCACCAGCCAAGUCGCGUGAGGGAGUAAGGCCCUACGGGUCGUACACCUCUUUUGCCGGGGAGCAGUGCCCAGCUCGUGAGCUGGGAGGGAGCGUAACCGGAGAAAAAGCAUCGGCUAAAUCCGUGCCAGCAGCCGCGGUCAUACGGGGGGUGCAAGCGUUGUCCGGCAUCAUUGGGCGUAAAGGGUUGGUAGGCGUCACGUAAAGUAUGGUGUUAAAGUCAGAGGCUCAACUUCUGUACGGCACUGGAUACUGGCGAGCUAGAAUGCGGUAGAGGUAAAGGGAAUUCCUGGUGUAGCGGUGAAAUGCGUAGAUAUCAGGAGGAACAUCAGAGGCGUAAGCGCUUUACUGGGUCGUAAUUGACGCUGAGGAACGAAAGCCAGGGUAGCAAAUGGGAUUAGAUACCCGUGUAGUC
Molecule: ribosomal RNA, 461 nt
Filed under: uncultured bacterium
Lineage: Bacteria
Description: partial 16S ribosomal RNA
Rfam family: Bacterial small subunit ribosomal RNA
Source: RNAcentral